UACAUAGGGCGCAAGCGUUGUCCGGAUUUAUUGGGCGUAAAGAGUUCGUAGGCGGCACUGUUAGUCAGAAGUUAAAACGCAAGGCUUAACCUUGCGGUGCUUUUGAUACUGCAGAGCUUGAGUAUGGCAGGGGAGAAGGGAAUUCCACGUGUAGCGGUGAAAUGCGCAGAUAUGUGGAGGAACACCAGUGGCGAAGGCGCUUCUCUGGGCCAUUACUGACGCUGAGGAACGAAAGCGUGGGUAGCGAACAGG
This 252-nucleotide ribosomal RNA is filed under the name uncultured bacterium. Its description in RNAcentral is "partial 16S ribosomal RNA". It matches the Rfam family "Bacterial small subunit ribosomal RNA", at positions 524 to 776 of the family's 1533-position model. The record is from RNAcentral.